UAAUAUCCCCAAAGCAGCAUUUAUUUACCCACUGAAUUCCAAAACAUUUAAUUUAGAAGUCUGGCAUUUCAUAAUCACCCAUCUUGAUUGACGUGGGCUGACACACACGGUGCUGUCAGGAUACACAAGGACAAUAGCCAAAAAGUUACAAAAAAUAAAUCCAUGAUUCUUAAACCAUCGCAACCAAAAAAAGAAAAAGUUACAGGUAUCAAAACUUUAGAUGCAUUGCAUUGAAAAGAAGUUUGUUAGAAAGCUGACGGAAAGGAGCAAGUGGCCUCUUUGUGUCAGCUUCCCUUAACAGUUUCCCAUUAGCUGAAGAAAGGGGUGGGAGGGGUGAAUUCAUUUUUGCAUGCACAAGAUGUACUGCUUAACAAAACACUAUCAGCUUGUUUUAAAUGGAUCAUUUAAAUAUCAAUUGUAGCCUGUGUUGGCUAAUUCUCCUUUCUAAACUUCCCCAUUGCUCUCUCCUGGAUUUCACAUAGAUCAACAGGCAUCAAAAUGCCUCAUUCAGAACGCACUUGUCUGCACAUUCGAAAAGGGAGCUCCUGUGGGCUCAAAGCAACCAUCAUUCCAGCAAUGCCCAUGAAGAUUUAUCUGAAACUGCUUCCCAAGGGGCAGGAGAGCAGAUCUGAGUAGCUGUGCUGCCAAUACAGAUAGGUUUAGCACUAGAUAUUUAGUGAUUGUGGCAAGGAAGAAUUGGUGAUGAUGGGGGUGGUGGGUGAAGGAAGGGCCAGGGACCUGAAGGCUCUUCAGUUGCCUUCUCCUGCUUCUUCAUCCUGCUGGUCGCUCGUCCAGAGGGUGAGGUUGUCUCGCAGCAACUGCAUGAUGAGCGUGGAGUCCUUAUAGGAAUCCUCGUUUAGUGUGUCCAGCUCAGCUAUGGCAUCAUCGAAGGCUUGUUUGGCUAAGAGGCAGGCCUGCUCAGGCGCAUUCUGGAUCUCAUAGUAGAACACGGAGAAGUUGAGGGCCAGGCCCAGCCGAAUGGGGUGCGUUGGCUGCAUGUGCUCUUUGCUGAUUUCAAAGGCUUCUUUGUAGGCAGCCUCAGAAGCUUCGACCACACUGUUUUUCUUCUCCCCGGAAGCUACCUCUGCCAAGUAGCGGUAGUAAUCGCCUUUCAUUUUCAGGUAAAAUACCUUGCUCUCAUACUGAAAAUCAUUGCAGUUCUUGAUGAGGAACUUGUCAAGCAGAGCCAGGACAUCAUUGCACACUGUUUCCAGCUCCUUCUCAAUCUUCUCCCGGUAAGCUUUAACUUUCUCCAAUUUCUUUUCAUUUCCAUCAGCCAUGGUCUUCUGCUCAAUGCUGCUGAUGACCCUCCAGGAAGAUCGCCUGGCACCAACCACAUUCUUGUAGGCCACAGAGAGGAGGUUUCGAUCUUCAUUGGAGAGAGGUUCAUUGAGCUCCGUCACCUGCAAAAUCCCAA
This 1417-nucleotide long non-coding RNA is filed under the name Equus caballus (horse). Its description in RNAcentral is "lncRNA (ENSECAG00000059220.1)". Lineage: Eukaryota; Metazoa; Chordata; Mammalia; Perissodactyla; Equidae. The record is from RNAcentral.